Molecule: ribosomal RNA, 407 nt
Filed under: uncultured bacterium
Lineage: Bacteria
Description: partial 16S ribosomal RNA
Rfam family: Bacterial small subunit ribosomal RNA
Source: RNAcentral
AUUGAACGCUGGCGGCAGGCCUAACACAUGCAAGUCGAGCGGCGCGGCGGACGGGUGAGUAAUGCCUAGGAAUCUACCUGGUAGUGGGGGAUCACGUCCGGAAACGGGCGCUAAUAACACAUACUUGCAAGUGAGCCUCGGUGGGAUUAGCUGGUUGGUGGGGUAACGGCCUACCAAGGCGACGAUCCGUAACCGGACUGAGAGGAUGAUCAGUCACACUGGAACUGAGACACGGCCCAGACUCCUACGGGAGGCAGCAGUGGGGAAUAUUCGACAAUGGGCGAAAGCCUGACCCAGCCAUGCCGCGUGUGUGAAGAAGGUCUUCGGAUUGUAAAGCACUGUAAGUAGGGAGGCGGUACCUACAGAAUAAGCACCGGCUAACUUCGUGCCAGCAGCCGCGGUAAUAC